AACGCAAAUUGCACUUUCUGGUAUUCCGGAAAGUAUGCCUGUUUGAGGGUCAGUUAAAUAAAAAUCGGUGUUGUUGCUGCUUUUUCGUGGUGACGCGUCGGAGUUGGGUCGUCUUAACUUCGGUUUAAGUGACUUAAAAUUUUUCAUGAUUUUUGAACGUAUUUAAAUUGCUUACGUACGUUUGAGAUAUCGAAUGUUUUAUUAGGUUCGGUCAUCCUCAUGACACGCGCCUAUAAUCUUUCAUUAAAUGACCUCAAAUCAGGUAAGAAUACCCGCUGAACUUAA
This 285-nucleotide unclassified non-coding RNA is filed under the name uncultured Glomeraceae. RNAcentral's name for it is "sequence contains ITS2". The stretch from base 1 to 52 matches the Rfam family "5.8S ribosomal RNA", at positions 103 to 154 of the family's 154-position model. Lineage: Eukaryota; Fungi; Glomeromycota; Glomeromycetes; Glomerales; Glomeraceae. The record is from RNAcentral.